AAAUACAUUGAUGUGUGUGUGUGUGUGUGUGUGAUAUCUGUAUAUAUACCAUGUGUAUAUACUGAUGUGUGUAUACGUAAAGUGCAUAACUGUUUAUAUACAGUGCACUAAUAUAUAUAUUUUUAUAUACAUUGAUGUGUAUGAUCAUAUAUACACUUAUUAUCAAUUUAUACAGUUACGAACGUAUAUGUACACUGAUUUAUAUACUACACCCACACACACUCACACUCUUACACAUACACACACACAUACACACUCACUCACACACACACACACUCACUCACACACACACAUUCACACUAACACUCACACACACUCACACUAACACUCACACUCCUAGAUAUAUAUAAUACACAUAUGUGUAUGUUAUAUAUGGACUGAUGUGAGUAUUUGUACGAUAUGUAUAAACUGAUAUGUUUAUACGUGUAUAUAGUUGCUUGUUAUCAGUUAUAUACAAUUAUGAAUGUAUAUAUACACUGCUAUGCUCAUGCACAUGCACCCCUACCUCCUUGAUAAGUGCAUAUAUACUGUGUAUAUAUACACUAGUACAUGCAUUCUAUAUACACUGAAAUAUGUGACCAUAUAGACACUUGGUAUAUAUAUAUAUAGGCCUAAGGCACAACUUUAUAGGGCUUCAACUGUCCAUGAUAUAUGACUCUAUACUGUUUAUUAUAUGGUCCGUGAUGUAGGACUCUAAAAUGCCUAUAACUAGGUCCACAACAUAUGAUCUAAAGCAUUAUCACAUACUUCAUGUAUGACUAUAAAUAGAUACACAUAUAUAUAUAUAUUUGUACUACACAGAUAUAUAUAUAUAUACUACACAUAUAUGCGUGUUGUGUAUAGACUGAUGUGUGUAUAUAUAUGAGAUGUUUGUUCUAAUAACUGUAUAUAUCACUGAAAAUAAGUAUAGACAGUCUUAUAAUUUAGUAUUUGUAUGAACACCUUAUACAUAUGCAUAUGACUAUGCGUUGAUAUGUACAUAUACGCUAAUAACUGUAUAAACUGAUAAUAAGUGUCCAUAUAUAUCAGUGUAUCUAGAAAUGUAUGUAUGAACUUAUCAUUGCGUAAAGAUGCAUAUGCGUGCGCAUAUCGACGUAUAUAUAACUAAUAGCAAGUGUAAACACACGUAUAAACAUCAUUGUACAUAAAUCAGUGUAUAUAUACACAUUAAUAGCUGUAUAAACAUCAUUAGUGUCUGUAUAUAUGGUCAUAUAUGUCAAUGUAUAUAUAAAUGUAUAUAUUAAUGCACUAUAUAGAUACAGUUAUGCACUUUACACACACACACAUGAAUGUAUUUUUUAAACACUAAUAACUGUAUAUAUAGCGGAUAAAAAGUGUCUAUAUGGUCGUAUUUAUCAAUCAGUUAUGUACGUAUGUACUACCAAUGCAUAAGGGUGCAUGUGUGUGUACAUAUCAGUGUAUAUGUAACUGAUAGUAAGUUUAUACAUACACACAUAAACAUAUCAGUAUAUAUGUAUCUUAUAUAUACAUGCUGUAUAUAUCUAUAUAAACUGCUAAUAAAUGUCUCUAUAGUCAUAUAUAUUAAUGUAGAUAGAAUGCAUGUAUCAGUGUACACAUACAAGACAUUAGUUAUCUGCUAUAUAUAAAGGGUUAUUAGUGUGUAAAAAAUACAUUGAUGUGUGUGUGAUGUCUGUUUAUAUACGAUGUGUAUUUAUUGAUAUGUAUGUAUAAAGUGCAUAAUUGUCUAUAUACAGUGCACUAACAUAUACAUUUAUGUAUAUGGCUAUAUAUACACUUACUAUCACUUUAUACAGUUACUAACGUAUAUGUAUACUGAUUUAUAUACUACUCACACACACUUAGACUCAAACUCACUCACACUCACGCACACACACACACUCACUCACACACACUCACUUACUCACUCACACUCACACUCACAGUCGCAGUCGCAGUCGCAGUCCACGUCACACUCAUACUCACACUCGCAGUCGCAGUCACACUCACACUCAUACUCACAGAUAUAUAUACUAUACAUAUAUGCGUAAUGUGUAUGGAUUGAUAUAUAUACUACACAUAUAUGCGUAUUGUGUAUGGAUUGAUGUGUGCAUAUAUACGAUAUGUAUAUAUUGAUAUAUGUACACUGAUAUUUAUAUAUGUACACUCAUAUGUACAUGUAUAAAGGGUUUAUAUAUACACUAAUAUAUAAGACCAUGUAUUAUUAUUAUCAGUGAUAUAUACAAUUAUUAUAACAAUUUGUACG
Molecule: long non-coding RNA, 2224 nt
Filed under: Amborella trichopoda
Lineage: Eukaryota; Viridiplantae; Streptophyta; Magnoliopsida; Amborellales; Amborellaceae
Description: long non-coding RNA (ATRI_LNC002780)
Source: RNAcentral